AUGUGGGGCUCUUGAGGUCCCUGCUGAGAGGACUGGAAAUGCUAAACCCUUCCUCUUGUAUCAAAGUGUAGAAAAGCGCACGUUCGUGGACAGUGAGAACACCGAAUGACCCUCAGCUGCUGAAGCUGGAACUGAAAAAGAGCUGCAUUAUACUGCAGCCUCAGAGCUUCAUACAGCCAACCAUAACCUAGGAUUGAAAUGGAUAUACACGAUUAUGCAGAGGCUUCAUACUCUUUUAUAUAUGUGGAAAUGCAACUCCAUAGUGAGUAGCUGAAAAGGCUGUUGCAGCUAUAGCCUCUGGCAAUGCAACACUAUCCUGAGACAAUCUAUGAUGUUGCCCUGCAGCAGGAGCAUGUCAGCAGCAUUGCUGUCCAGGAAAGAAGGCCAACAUCGCUAAUAUUCAAGGAAGAAUUCAAAUCAUUUUAAGCAUUUUCAAGCUACUUAUAUACAUUGCAUUCUAAUAAGCCAUUAAUCACGUGCAUGGAGGGGAAUCUUUGUGAUUGGAUCUCAUCUCUUCUUUGUGAAGUUGGAGGAGAAAGAGGAGGAAAGGGUCUCCUACAUCUGUGCCAUCAUUCCCAUUGUCUGAAGUUUCCACCAGGAUCACUUUAUAAGUCCAAGACUCCACAGAUGGGGAAGGAUGUCUGUGAGGAGACAGUCACACCAUCUCAGAAGACCACAGAAAUUUCACAAGAGGGGCAAUACAGUCUGAAACUGUGGACCUUUUCAGCAGUUGUCUUUUGCGUGGUGCAGGCUCCCAAUAAAGCAGUGGAAGAAGGCCUUACUGUGGAUUCAGAGGAGCUGCCUCAUCAGAAAGAAAGAGAACGCCACAAAGAGACUUGGUGUUAAUCAAAGGUCCACUGAUAAAUGAGACACAGAAGGUUUAGUGCAUGUCCCAUUUUUCCAUUUCUUACAAAGAAAUAAUAUACUAUAUCUCAUCAAAUGAAAUUUCAAGUGCAAAUAAUAUAAACAACAAAUUGUCUAGAGUGUCAUCUUUAAUGAGACAAAACAGUGUCAUUGAUUAUAAUUUUGAAGCCAACAUGUGUAUGACUCUCUAUGUAUGACUCUCUAUGUGUGCAUGCGUUUGUGAGAGAGGGAGAUAGUAAAUGCCUUUGGUAACCUAGAGUAGAGUAGAGUAACCUUGCUGAAAGGUAUUUCUUGAGCAAGCCACUAGUGGGGAGUCAAUGAGUCAGGAUUCAUCUUAAAGGUUAACACUAACAAAAAUUUGUGGACACCACUCCAUUUCAUGAGAUGCAAUAAUUCAUGAUUAAGUAUUGCUCUCAAAGAAUAGCUGUCCAUAUCUCAGUAAUUUCCAGCAACAGCUUCUCUUAUGACCUCAUCAGAUGAAUGUCAGCUGGUGGUGGUGGCACUCAGGUUCGUAUAUUGCGUGGGGAAUCCAGAGCCCCACGUUCUGCAUCACCUGGAUCCAAGUGAGGGUGAUCACAUGGAAGGGGGGGAGCAUGAGCAUGUGUGUGUGGCUUCCCCCAUAGAUUUUAUGGCAACAUGGGAGCUCUCCUGUGUUGCCCUGCCAGCAGCAUGCACUGGCUCUUUCACCCACAAAGCCAGCAUAGUGUCAUGAUGGGCUGGCUCCGUGGGUGACUGGGCUGAAAUUGGUGCAUGUUGCCAAUUUUAGCCAUUUCUGAUAAGGUUAUUAUUAGUCCUGAAGACCAAUAGUAACUAAUCAAAGGUACUACUGCAUCAGUUACACAGAACCAGAGUAUGUAACAUUCUGAUGACAUCUUUGUCCUUGUUCUUGCACAGUUGAACAAGUAAGCUUAGAUUGAUUUACUCUAACCUGAUUUAACAAUAAAGGAAAAGUUCAUUUCAAUGAAGGAAGUUGUACAAGUUAACACAAAACACGUCAGAUGUAACAGAGAACAUAGCACUGGUAACAGAGUUUCCAUUUAUGUUCACAGUAUAGGCAAGAAAGGUUUAACAGACUCAGCAGUCAUGACUGCCUGUUCAUUAGUAGAGCUCCCUUUGUAAGCCUGGAAAGAUCUGACACAAACUUCAACAUUUAGGGCUUAUUAUUCAAGUACCACUAAAAAGAUAUUGCUAUCCUAGCAGCAAAAAUCAGCAUGAUUCCUCAAUGAAAUUUGUAACCAUACAGAACUUUCCAGUACCAUCUGUUUAUUUAACAACUCAGCAGUUGUUCACCAGACAUCCUAUUCUGACCUUCAAGUGAUGCUUUUAAUCUUGGACAGUAAAAUUAAGCACAAACAUCUGCAUUCCAGGUAAACAAAACACUGAUAAUGGGGAAAACAUGAUUUGGGAGAAGCAUUGAUAUAUAUUGUUGUUGUAUACCUUCAAGACAUUUUUGAUUUAUGGCAGUCCUAAGACAAACCUUGGCAAAACUUGCAUGGAGCAUGUCUUGAAGGUAUACAACUUCCUUUGAACUUGAUAGAAGUGACUUACCAAAGAUUACCCAGUGAAUUUUCAUGGCAGAGAGAAUUCAAACUAGUCUCCAUAACUAUAGUCCAAUGCUCAGACCAUUGUACCACACUGACUUUGGUAUUUACCUUUAUGUAUUUCUUGGGCUUAUUUAGCUGCUUUUAUUCUUGGGUUCAGCUAAAAGAUUAUGUUCAUGCUGACAACCACCAUAAUCAUUGACCGCUAAUCACUCCAUUGGCUGUCUUGUGAUGACAGGAUUCUGGGAACGAUAGUCCAAAAAUAACAUUUCCAAGCUCUGAUUCCUUACAUGAUUAUUGAAUGCCUGAAAAAGGAUCUAUUAUAAGAAACAAUUGAUAAAGUAAGUUGCUUUAAACAUGAGAAUGAUUCUACAGUAUUGAUGAGCACUGUAAUAAGAACCGUUAAACGUACUAGAAUUACUGUUCAAUGUGCUCAUGCAAUGGACAAUGGUGUGAGUAAUUUGACAAUUUCGGUGCUCAGAGGAAUCUAAAAUGUAUUUUUAUAAGUAGGGAAGCAUUGGUAGGGCAAUAGGAGAAGUUUUUCUGUAAGUACUUGCCAAAUUUAAUGAGAUUCUUAGGACAAACAGAGUUUAGGAGGAAAGUCUUGGAAAACUGCCUGUGACUCCAGAGCAGGCCUGUGCAACUUAUGGCCCUAGAGGUGUUUUCGACUUCAGCUCCCAGAAUUCCUAACCAUUGGACAAAUUAGAGUCCCAAACACCUGGAGGUCCACAUAUUGUGCAGGCCUGCUCUAGAGGAAAGUGUGCAGUCAUUUCUUCAUUCUCCUGUGGACAUCUCUACUUCUUUUCUUGUUGCCAUGUUCCAUGCUUGGUAAAGUCAGGGCAGUAGGAAAAAAGGAAGAUUGCAUUCCAGAUGGAAAGACUCAGUCACUCUGAGACUGCAGGGCCUGAGCAGGGCUGUAGAGGAUAGAGUGACUUGAAGGUGUCUGAUUCAUAGUACCGUAAUACUUUUAAGUCAGUUUGAAAGAUAUCAACAAUCACCUUUACCUUUCCAACUAUACUAGCAAAUCAGAAUUGUACAAGAUCUGGGCCCAAGUCCUUAUGCAAUAAACAUGUGAAAAACGUUAUUGGUGCUGUUCAGUUGUCACCAGCACAAUGUUAAGUCUAAAAUUAUUUUACUUAUGCAGUCUUUUCCAGAACAUGUGUCAAACUGGCUAAAGACGCAUCAGAACACCUCAGCUGGCAAAUACUGCAGAAGAACAUUGCAUCUGUUUGCAGUGAAUGAGCCUCCUACUGUGGUCUUAAAUACUUUUAUAUGUAGCAAAUGGCACCAGCAUGAGAAAAAUUAUAAGGCCCAUUUUUGUGGGUAAAUAAUUCAGUCAUACAAAGUUCCACUGAGGAGGAAAGAAAAUAAAUGACCUGUCUGGAUAUGUCAGACAGAAGAGAACUUACCUGAAAAUACUAAGUUGGUAAAAUGAAGUUGUGCGUGUCCCCGUGUGACUAAAAAGGACCUUCUAGACAUACCAUGUCUGUUUCAAGGCUACAUCUUAGCUGUAAGACAUCUUCAAUAGUAACAUCAAAAACACUGAACAGUGAAAGAAAUGCGUUGGCUGCGUCUCUGUGCUACUAAGAGCUAUUGUGUGUGUAUGUGUGCGUGCGUGUGCUAAGCUUUAAGCUUCCGUUCAUAUUUUCUCACACUUCUUUUCCUAUAUAUCAAAACUAUAUUGAGAAAUAGUUUGAAUUAUAUGAAGCUGUUUAUUUUCUGUGAAAUGUUCUUCAUUUAUCUGAAAUCGUUUUAUAAAUUGUUGUGCAUGUUGUUUUAAUUAUACCAGCUCAGUAAAUGCAUCUUCUAAAAUGCACCCCAAUUUUAGUCUUUUGGAUAUCUUAUAAAGAAAAUUGGAAUGCAAUAAAUUUCUGUUAUCAUGUUAAAUGUAUCUUCACAUAUAGGAAUGCUAUUAACCUCAAUAGGGAAGAUUAGGAUGUUUAUCAAAUAACGAAGUAUUUACCAGCUUGUAGGCAACUGGUCUUUGUAAACAUUAUCUGUUUUUACACACAUAUUCCAUAUUUUAAUCUAUUUGACUCUAAACAACAGCUUUGAUCUUAGCAAACUAAAUAAAUUCAUCUGCA
Molecule: long non-coding RNA, 4489 nt
Organism: Anolis sagrei ordinatus
Lineage: Eukaryota; Metazoa; Chordata; Lepidosauria; Squamata; Anolidae
Source: RefSeq, a predicted model, not a curated record